RNAcentral lists this ribosomal RNA (481 nucleotides) under uncultured bacterium. RNAcentral describes it as "partial 16S ribosomal RNA". It matches the Rfam family "Bacterial small subunit ribosomal RNA", at positions 28 to 507 of the family's 1533-position model. The record is from RNAcentral.
GAUGAACGCUGGCGGCGUGCUUAACACAUGCAAGUCGAACGAAGCAUUUGCGACAGAUUUUUUCGGAAUGAAGUUGCUUAUGACUGAGUGGCGGACGGGUGAGUAACGCGUGGGUAACCUGCCUUGUACUGGGGGCUGGCAGCUGGAAACGGCUGGUAAUACCGCAUAAGCGCACAAUGUUGCAUGACAUGGUGUGAAAAACUCCGGUGGUAUAAGAUGGACCCGCGUCUGAUUAGCUAGUUGGUGAGAUAACAGCCCACCAAGGCGACGAUCAGUAGCCGACCUGAGAGGGUGACCGGCCACAUUGGGACUGAGACACGGCCCAGACUCCUACGGGAGGCAGCAGUGGGGAAUAUUGCACAAUGGAGGAAACUCUGAUGCAGCGACGCCGCGUGAGUGAAGAAGUAAUUCGUUAUGUAAAGCUCUAUCAGCAGGGAAGAUAGUGACGGUACCUGACUAAGAAGCUCCGGCUAAAUACGUG